UUUAAGGUCUAACCUGCCCAAUGAGGAUUUAAAUGGCCGCAGUAUUUUGACUGUGCAAAGGUAGCAUAAUUAUUAGUUUUUUAAUUGAAAGCUUGUAUGAAGGGUUGGACGAGAUGAAAUCUGUCUUUAUUUAAAUUAAAAUAUAAUUUAACUUUUAAGUAAAAAGGCUUAAAUGUUUAUAAAAGACGAGAAGACCCUAUAGAUCUUUAUUUAAUUAAAAUUUUAAUAAUUUAGGAUUAUUUUAAUUUAAAGUUUUAAUUAAAUUUUAUUGGGGUAAUAUAAAGAUUAAAUAAAUUCUUUUUAUUUAUAACAUUGAUUUAUGAAUAUAUGAUCCAUUAAUAUUGAUUAUAAGAUUAAGUUACCUUAGGGAUAACAGCGUAAUUUUUUUGGAGAGCUCAUAUCGAUAAAAAAGUUUGCGACCUCGAUGUUGGAUUAAAAAUUAGCUUGGGUGUAGAAGCUCAAGAUUUUGGUCUGUUCGACCAUUAAAUUUUUACAUGAUCUGAGUUCAGACCGGCGCGAGCCAGGUCGGUUUCUAUCUUUAUUAAGAUAAAAUGUUUUAGUACGAAAGGACCAAAUAUUUAAUAUAAUUAUAUUUAUUUUUU
This 602-nucleotide ribosomal RNA is filed under the name Cicindela (Rivacindela) sp. JP-32b. RNAcentral describes it as "partial 16S ribosomal RNA". It matches the Rfam family "Bacterial large subunit ribosomal RNA", at positions 1844 to 2726 of the family's 2925-position model. Lineage: Eukaryota; Metazoa; Arthropoda; Insecta; Coleoptera; Carabidae. The record is from RNAcentral.